RNAcentral lists this ribosomal RNA (814 nucleotides) under uncultured Verrucomicrobiota bacterium. RNAcentral describes it as "bacterial SSU rRNA". It matches the Rfam family "Bacterial small subunit ribosomal RNA", at positions 58 to 843 of the family's 1533-position model. The record is from RNAcentral. Lineage: Bacteria; Pseudomonadati; Verrucomicrobiota.
CAAGUCGAGCGCUGAUUACAGGGUAGCAAUAUUUUGUAGUCGGAGCGGCGCAAGGGUGCGUAACACGUGGGCAAUCUGCCGUGAAGUCGGGGACAACUUGCUGAAAGGCGAGCUAAUACCGGAUGUAAAAAUCGGAAGGCAUCUUCUGAUUUUCAAAGCUGGGGACCGUAAGGCCUGGCGCUUCAUGAUGAGCCCGCGGCCUAUCAGCUAGUUGGUGAGGUAACGGCUCACCAAGGCUAAGACGGGUAGCUGGUCUGAGAGGACGACCAGCCACACUGGAACUGAGACACGGUCCAGACACCUACGGGUGGCAGCAGUCGAGAAUUUUUCACAAUGGGCGAAAGCCUGAUGGAGCGACGCCGCGUGGGGGAUGAAUGGCUUCGGCCCGUAAACCCCUGUCAUUUGCGAUCAACCGUUAUUAUUUAAAAGAUGAUGACCUGAUAGUAGCGAAAGAGGAAGGGACGGCUAACUCUGUGCCAGCAGCCGCGGUAAUACAGAGGUCCCAAGCGUUGUUCGGAUUCACUGGGCGUAAAGGGUGCGUAGGUGGCGAGGUAAGUCGGAUGUGAAAGCUCGGAGCUCAACUCCGAAAUGGCAUUGGAAACUACCUUGCUCGAGGGUUGGAGGGGGGAACUGGAAUUCUCGGUGUAGCAGUGAAAUGCGUAGAUAUCGAGAGGAACACCAGUGGCGAAGGCGAGUCCCUGGACAACUCCUGACACUGAGGCACGAAAGCUAGGGGAGCAAACAGGAUUAGAUACCCUGGUAGUCCUAGCUGUAAACGGUGCAUGUUUGCUGUAAAAGGAAUCGACCCCUUUUG